RNAcentral lists this ribosomal RNA (490 nucleotides) under uncultured bacterium. RNAcentral's name for it is "partial 16S ribosomal RNA". It matches the Rfam family "Bacterial small subunit ribosomal RNA", at positions 30 to 507 of the family's 1533-position model. The record is from RNAcentral.
AUUGAACGCUGGCGGCAGGCCUAACACAUGCAAGUCGAACGGUAACAGGAAGCAGCUUGCUGCUUUGCUGACGAGUGGCGGACGGGUGAGUAAUGUCUGGGAAACUGCCUGAUGGAGGGGGAUAACUACUGGAAACGGUAGCUAAUACCGCAUAACGUCGCAAGACCAAAGAGGGGGACCUUCGGGCCUCUUGCCAUCGGAUGUGCCCAGAUGGGAUUAGCUAGUAGGUGGGGUAACGGCUCACCUAGGCGACGAUCCCUAGCUGGUCUGAGAGGAUGACCAGCCACACUGGAACUGAGACACGGUCCAGACUCCUACGGGAGGCAGCAGUGGGGAAUAUUGCACAAUGGGCGCAAGCCUGAUGCAGCCAUGCCGCGUGUAUGAUGAAGGCCUUCGGGUUGUAAAGUACUUUCAGCGGGGAGGAAGGGAGUAAAGUUAAUACCUUUGCUCAUUGACGUUACCCGCAGAAGAAGCACCGGCUAACUCCGUG